Molecule: long non-coding RNA, 2105 nt
Filed under: Homo sapiens (human)
Lineage: Eukaryota; Metazoa; Chordata; Mammalia; Primates; Hominidae
Description: HSALNT0376266
Source: RNAcentral
GAGAGAGAUAGGGAGGCUGGGGUCUCACUAAGUUUCCCAGGUGGUUUUGAACACUUGGUCUCAAGGGGUCUUCCCACCUUGGCCUCACAAAACUCUGGGACCUCACCAGGCCUACGACCAUUUAUAAAGAUUUUUCUCCCCUAAUGGAUUUAUCUCCUGCCAACCUUCAAACAUUUCUUUUUCUUGUAUGUGCUAAGUCUUUUCCCACUUUUCAGAAUGGAAAGAGUUUAUAAGUCGUCAUCUGGGAAUGCAGCCUAACUCUGAAGGCGCAUAUAGCUUGUAGGGACAUCAAGUUCAUGACCCUGUAACUCUGAUCGUCCUUCUAACUAUAGAUUCUUCUAACCAUGUAUCCUUUAAUAAACUGAUUAGUUGUAAGGUUUUUAAGAGAGAACAUGAAAGAAUUUUGAUAUACUUCUACAAUCAUAAAAUUGAACAUCAAUUUACUGCUUCCUAGCUUUGAAGUCACAAAGCAGAAAUAGCUUAUUGGAAAGACAGGGCGUUAGAAGAAAUAUAUCAAAGCACAUUUUAUUUGUAAUUGGAAAAUUUAACUCAACAGGAAUGUCGUUUUUGCCUAAUUUUUUUGAGGGGGAAAGAACAGUGUUUCUAUUACUUUUCAAAAGCUGUGAAAGAAAAGAAUUAUAACCUCAAACACAGAAAAACAUAGGGUUAGCAAUAAUUCCUGUGGGCUUAACUUUCUGUUCCUCUUUCUGUUUUUGGCUCAGCAAUACCAGAAACUCGUAUAUGAUUUCACACUAUUUUCUUUUGGUACAUCAGAAAAUUGGAUACCAAUUAAAAUUUUUCUCAAUUACUGAUUUUUAGUAGGUUCUUACUUCAAAAUAUUGUUACAGGAAGGGGUAAAACGACCACAGGAAGGAGAAAAAGCAAAACUCCAGUUAUUGGUAAAUGUGCCAUAUUCCUCAUUCAACGUGCCGUUUUAACGCAACACAGGCAAACAUUUGCCCUUUACUUUCUUCAAUAUAUGAAAUACUGUAACCAAAUAAAUACCAGAGGCUUUGAUCUUUGGCCCUCAUCUCACAACGCUCAGGGAUAUGACUUGAACAGUACGAUUUUUGCUGUAGUUAAAAAUCAGAAUAUUUAACACUAACAGUAUUUCUUACGAGUAGGUCUGUCCCGUACUUUUGUAUCCUAACAGGGUUAGGAUGAGAGUGCAGGGAGGUAUAAGGACGUACAAGAAUGCUUCUCCAGUUCAACUCUAAGUGAACGAUGUAAUUCCUCAAAUCCACCUCUCAGCCUGUUUUUCAGCGUUCCUGUGUUUGGCUGCCAGGGGCGAAAGUAGCGGUCGAGGGAAGACACCUGUGAAGGGGCGUGGCUACUCGCCCGGGUUCCUCCGUCCCUGACCCCAGAGGCGCCUGCGCAGAAUGGACAGAGGCGCUGCUGUACGAGAGGGGUGUGGCCGCCCUGUCCAAGGUCCUCAGCCCCCGACCCGACGGGCGCCUAUGCACACCGGCCGGAGAUAGUCACGCAGAUGCCAGUGGAGUCCACCGCAACUUAGAAUGUAGUGCCGACGGCUCCAGAACUGAGUGGCCGAAUCGUUGCAAGGACUCUCCCGGAGGGUUGAACUUUGGGUUCACUUCAGCAAAGUCUGUUGGCACAAGGCCCCAAUGUCACCGGCGAAAUAUCGGUGAAAACUUCCAUGUUUGGGGGAAGACCCCUGCCCGACCUAGUGACCUAGCGGGCCAACCGCCUCCCCAGCUCUCAGAGAGACUUCGGGGAGACGCCAAGCGCUCCAGGCCGGCCCUGUCCUCUGCGCUCCACUGCUGCCGCACGGACUGCCAGACUCCCGGCAUGCUCUGCGGACUGAAGUCCGCGGCACGAGAAAUCAAAGCCCCGGGGCCUGGGUCCCACGCGGGGUCCCUUACCCAGGGUGCCCCGGGCGCUCAUUUGCAUGUCCCACCCAACAGGUAAACCUGACAGAUCGGUCGCGGCCAGAUACGGCCUGGCGGUCAGAGCACCAAUCUUACGAGCCUUGUGAUGAGUUCCGUUACAUGAAAUUCUCCUAAAGGCUCCAAGAUGGACAGGAAAGCGCUCGAUUAGGUUACCGUAAGGAAAACAAAUGAGAAACUCCCGUGCCUUAUAAGACCUGG